This 61-nucleotide transfer RNA is filed under the name Reduvius tenebrosus. RNAcentral describes it as "tRNA-Ile". Lineage: Eukaryota; Metazoa; Arthropoda; Insecta; Hemiptera; Reduviidae. The record is from RNAcentral.
AAUAAGGUGCCUGAUUAAAGUUCUACUUUGAUAGAGUAGAUCAAGUAUAUUUAUACCCUUA